Molecule: ribosomal RNA, 253 nt
Filed under: uncultured bacterium
Lineage: Bacteria
Description: partial 16S ribosomal RNA
Rfam family: Bacterial small subunit ribosomal RNA
Source: RNAcentral
UACGGAGGGGGCUAGCCUUGUUCGGAAUUACUGGGCGUAAAGCGCACGUAGGCGGCUUUGUAAGUUAGAGGUGAAAGCCCAGGGCUUAACCCUGGAAUUGCCUUUAAGACUGCAUCGCUAGAAUCGUGGAGAGGUGAGUGGAAUUCCGAGUGUAGAGGUGAAAUUCGUAGAUAUUCGGAAGAACACCAGUGGCGAAGGCGACUCACUGGACACGUAUUGACGCUGAGGUGCGAAAGCGUGGGGAGCAAACAGG